GACGAACGCUGGCGGCGUGCUUAACACAUGCAAGUCGAACGGUAAGGCCCUUCGGGGUACACGAGUGGCGAACGGGUGAGUAACACGUGGGUGAUCUGCCCUGCACUUUGGGAUAAGCCUGGGAAACUGGGUCUAAUACCGAAUAGGACCAUGGACUUCACGGUUUGUGGUGGAAAGCUUUUGCGGUGUGGGAUGGGCCCGCGGCCUAUCAGCUUGUUGGUGGGGUAAUGGCCUACCCAAGGCGACGACGGGUAGCCGGCCUGAGAGGGUGACCGGCCACACUGGGACUGAGAUACGGCCCAGACUCCUACGGGAGGCAGCAGUGGGGAAUAUUGCACAAUGGGCGCAAGCCUGAUGCAGCGACGCCGCGUGAGGGAUGACGGGCCUUCGGGUUGUAAACCUCUUUCAGCACAGACGAGACGCAAGUGACGGUAUGUGCAGAAGAAGGACCGGCCAACUACGUGCCAGCA
RNAcentral lists this ribosomal RNA (470 nucleotides) under uncultured bacterium. RNAcentral's name for it is "bacterial SSU rRNA". It matches the Rfam family "Bacterial small subunit ribosomal RNA", at positions 28 to 513 of the family's 1533-position model. The record is from RNAcentral.